GGCACAGACAUCUGAGGACAUGGCCGUCCAAGAAGAAAAUGUAGCCAUUGAUGCCAUCUAUCGACCGCAGGUUAAAGAUUGGCGAUCCGUUGGAUACCGACCGAGUUAUAGGCAAAACUUGGUGCAAAAAUGAGGAAAAUUUUACAUUUUCUCAAACAGGGUAAGGAACUUGGUUCCUCGAAUAACUUCUGGCACAGACAUCUGAGGACAUGGCCGUCCAAGAAGAAAAUGUAGCCAUUGGUGCCAUCUAUCGAGCACUGGUUAAAGAUUGGCGAUCCGUUGGAUACCGACCGAGUUAUAGUCAAAACUUGGCGCAAAAAUGAGCCUUAGUAAAAUUUCAUGUUUUUGAAUUUUUUGAUUUUUUUAUUAAUUUUCACUCUUUUUUUU
Anopheles funestus (African malaria mosquito) is the source of this 387-nucleotide long non-coding RNA. RefSeq lists it as uncharacterized. The record is from RefSeq and is a predicted model, not a curated record. Lineage: Eukaryota; Metazoa; Arthropoda; Insecta; Diptera; Culicidae. The transcript is spliced from 2 exons.